AAACAAUUCAUGCCUUUUUAUUUAAUUAAAGGACAAUCCCCCAAUCAUCCUACACCACCCCCAUAAGACCAUAAGACUUAAAGGCUCCCAGGAGGCAGAUUAUUAGGUUGUAACAAAACCAGGCACAUUAAUAAAUAAAAGUCUAAAAUUCUUGCUUUGGCUGGGACUUAAACUCUUGAAUAAAAUGCAUGCAAAUAUUUUUUAAAUAUAUGCAGUGCAUGGUGCCUAAUAGAUAUUCAGUUGAUGGCUUUGAAUAAGGGAAAAAUGAAUGAAUACAUAAAUGUAUGAAUAAAUACAGUUUAUUCUCAAUGGCAUGUACUUAUUCUAUUAGAGAAAACAUGAAUACUUAAAUAGGUAAUCCACAAAAGUCCAACCUACACAUUUUAACUGGUAGCCUCAUGCUUCUCCCAGAAGUUCUUACCAGAGAAGCAAACAGGCAGUAAAAAUGACUGGCUCAAGUUUCAUCUCUUCAGCCUGCCUGCGCUUGGUGCCUUGGAACUUUUAACUAACAGCAAAAUUCCCCAAAUGCCCUUGUGACACCAAGGGUAAAAGAAAGAGUCUUACUGCCAAUAAAUAGGAUUCUCAUGCCCUGUUCCGCUAAGCACAUAAGAUGAAAAGUUACACAAUAAAAGCAGCACUGCAGUUUUUAUUCCACUCUAAGCCAUUAUUUCCUCAAAUAGCAUUUGUGGUAACUAUCUUUGAUCGUUGACUAGGGCCACAGGUGGUUGGCCCUAGCUAGUGUAUCAGGAGUGUAAUCUGAGUUGUCUCUAAACACAUCACAGCAAUGACAGAUUAUACCAAUCAGAAGCAACCGUGUAAUACCAAGCUGUAAACUGCAGACAUUCUUUGGGUUUACGCUCUUAAUUUACUUGCCACGAAUGGGCUCCUUGAACUUUGUAGGUCUUUCAUUUUCCAAAGGAAGCACAUCUUCCGGGGCUUGAGUUUAAUUCGAUGCUACUGCUGCCAAAGCCACAUGGGAUGCAAAUGAAACUGGGUUCACCUUUCUCCC
RNAcentral lists this long non-coding RNA (1009 nucleotides) under Homo sapiens (human). RNAcentral's name for it is "non-protein coding lnc-DLEU7-8:1". The record is from RNAcentral. Lineage: Eukaryota; Metazoa; Chordata; Mammalia; Primates; Hominidae.